GACGAACGCUGGCGGCGUGCUUAACACAUGCAAGUCGAACGGAGUGGCGAACGGGUGAGUACCACGUGGGGGACCUGCCCUGCACUUCGGGAUAAGCCUGGGGAACUGGGUCUAAUAACGGAUAGUGUGGGAUGGGCCCGCGGCCUAUCAGCUUGUUGGUGGGGUAAUGGCCUACCAAGGCGGCGACGGGUAGCCGGCCUGAGAGGGUGGACGGCCACCUUGGGACUGGGACACGGCCCAGACUCCUACGGUGGGCAGCAGUGGGGAAUAUGGCACAAUGGGCGGAAGCCUGAUGCAGCGACGCCGGGUGGGUGAUGACGGCCUUGGGGUUGUAAACUCCUUUCACCAUCGACGCGGUAGAUGGAGAAGAAGCACCGGCUAACUACGUGCCAGCCGCCGCGGUAAUAC
RNAcentral lists this ribosomal RNA (408 nucleotides) under uncultured bacterium. RNAcentral describes it as "partial 16S ribosomal RNA". It matches the Rfam family "Bacterial small subunit ribosomal RNA", at positions 28 to 526 of the family's 1533-position model. The record is from RNAcentral.